RNAcentral lists this long non-coding RNA (8524 nucleotides) under Sus scrofa (pig). RNAcentral's name for it is "lncRNA (ENSSSCG00060033358.1)". Lineage: Eukaryota; Metazoa; Chordata; Mammalia; Artiodactyla; Suidae. The record is from RNAcentral.
UUUUUUUUUUUUUUUUUUUUUGGUAAUUGACAUGCCAUACAACUCACCUGUUUUAGGUACACAAUUCAAGGAUUUUUAGCAUAUCACGGGUGAUGCAAACAUCACCACAAUCUCAUUUAAGAGCAUCCCCCUCCCCCCAUGAAACCCUGUACCCACUGGCAGUCAUCCCCUCUCACCCUCCCUUGAGCCAAAACUGUGGGCAACUAUUCGUUUGCUUUCUGUCUCUAGGGACUUUUCUUAUAAAUGAAAUUUUAUCACGGGUGGGCUUACGUGACUGGCUUUCUUCACUUACAUUUUCAAGGUUUAUCCAUGUUGUUUAUCCAGCAUGAAUUAGCGCUUCAUUUUUACUGCUGUGUAAUAUUCCACUGUAAGGACAGACCACAUUUUUCUUCUCUAUUCAUUAGUUGAUGGUCAUUUGGGUUAGUCCCACUCUGGAUAUUACAAAUAAUGUUGCCAUGAACAUAAGUUUGUGUGUGGACACAUUUUCAUUUCUCUUGGGUACACGCCUAGGAGUGGAAUUGCUGGGUCACAACAGAACCCUGUAAUUAACCUUUUAUUGAUUAAAUAUGCAACAUUUUAAUGGAAAGUUUCAGGUAGCAAGUUCAGAUUUAGAACCUAUCUGUUGAAUCUAAAUUUACCUAUCUCCAAAAUGAAUCUAUAUUCCUAAAUUAUAUAGACUUCUCAAGGGGAACAGCCCAAACCUUAGUCAACCUGCCCUUGCUUAAUAAAAGCCUGACCUGUACAGAUUUGAACCUGCCAAAAAAAGAAAAAAAUUAGUUUUUACAAAAAUGUGAGAUUCUGAAGCUCGGCCCCACUCCCCAGCUGAGGAGGUAGAAACACAGGCCCUCCCAAUUCCUUCUCAACUCACAGGAGGUAAUUAUGAGUCUGCAAGAUGAGGCUGAAUAAAAAGGGGGGGUUGCCUUGUCCCAGUCACAGAUCAACAGGAAAACUAUGAAUAUACACAUCAAUAACACCCAUAACAUCUGGAAUUAACAGCCUAGCAGCCACACUGUUCUCCCAAUGACUAAAUAAAAAGGAAAAUCCUGGCUAAAAGACUUUAUUCCCAUGCCCAAUAAAAUCAAUACACAAGUGAUGAAAUACCAGAUUCCUUCUCCACCUGGGCAUGUGACUUAUUUGCACACAUGUGGGCUAAGGGAUAGAAAGGUAAAGUCUCUCUAAGCCCUAGGAAAGGAGGUGGGUCUUUUCAGCAAUUUUUCCAGGAAGUUUUAAGUCCAGGGCCUUGGGAAUCUAUUUAAACACCAUGCAGGGCAUGUGUGUUUGACCUUUGAACCCCCACGAUAAACCUUUAAGGGUACCUGGACAAGUGCUCAGCAACCCCUGAGGCUCCUGCGGCAGCAACUGCUCCUGCCCUUGGUGGUGCUGAUGCUGGUGGCAUCAAACAGAAGUGUCUUGCAUCCUAUAGCUCACAGGGGUUAAGCAAGUAGCUCAAGGUCACAGAACCAGGAAGCGGAGAAGCCACUGCAACCCGGGUCUUCGGACUCUGAAGUUAACCAUGAUAAACACUAUACUAACACCACCGCAGGUAUUUUCAUUCGCAUUAUCCUUCUUUUCCCAGACCCUAGACUCUUAAUACACAUUGUAACCUCCUAACGCAUUUCCCUGGGGGUUUCACUUCUCAAUCUGUGUGUGUGGCUCUCCUGUGAAUGAGCCUGCCUUGACCCCAUGAAGCAUCUACAAAGGAAUUCAGAUAAACCGAAUUAGCCAGAGUGUACCAAGAAGGUUCCAGCCACUGGACCAAUAGCUCCUGUUUCUUGGACAUUUUUUUGUCUUUUUACCUUUUCUAGGGCUGCACCCAUGGCAUAUGGAGGUUCCCAAGCUAGGGGUCGAAUCGGAGCUGUAACUGCCAAGCCUACGCCAGAGCCACAGCAACGCGGAAUCCGAGUUGCGUCAGCAGCCUACACCACAGCUCAUGGCAACGCCGGAUCCUUGACCCACUGAGCAAGGCCAAGGAUCGAACCCGCAACCUCAUCGUUCUUAGUCGGAUUUGUUAACCACUGAGCCACGACAGGAACUCCUGUUUCUUGGACAUUUUUUCAAUCAGGGCAUCUCAAUAACACAACAUGGCACUGCCAUCCGGGGCUGUGAUAUGUAAUGGGCUGAGGGGAUUGAAAGACAUAAACGGCAGGAUUUAGAAAAGUGGGACACAUGCAAAGUUUUUAUAAUUAGCAUUUUUAAAAAGAGAGGUCUCUGGAAAGGUUCAUUUGUGCCAUAUAUUAGAUUGCAGAUAUAAGUGAUAUCAUAUGGUAUUUGUCUUGGAGAACAGACAUGUGGUUGCCAAGGGGGAGGGAAUGGGAUAGACUGGGAGUUUGGGGUUAAUAGAUGCAAACUAUUGUAUUUGGGGAUAAACAAUGAGAGCCUGCUGUAUAGCCCAGGGAACCAUAUCUAGUCACUUGUGAUGGAACAUGAUGGAGGAUAAUGUGAGGAAAAGUAUAUAUAUAUGUAUGUAUGAACGAAUGACUGGGUCACUUUGCUGUACAGUAGAAACUGACAGAACAUUGUAAACUAUAAUGAGUUCCUAUUUUAAAACCUUUAUUUUUUACAUUUUCUAAAAUGAUUUCUCUUUUUCCAUUAGAGUUGAUUUACAGUGUUCUGUCAAUUGCUACCACCCCACAAUGGGCAGCCUGACGCAGCUGCCUUGCCUGUUUCAUGAACGCUCCCUCAAGACAGCAACGUAUUUCUUUUUCUGCCACAGGCUGGCUGGAGGUAAGAGCCCCUGGCCUGAUGGGCAUGGAGGUCAAUAGAUGCUCUACGCAACGCUCAAGAAUAUGUUAAGCAGGCCUCAACCAUGGCGACUUCUCUCCACUUGACAAAAUACAAGUGCUGGUAUCAGAGGCAGGAGAGGGGGACAGUGAAGAGCGGGUCGAGCGUGAGUUCGCAAAGCAGACUGACUGCAGGUACUCAAAUCCUGGCCGUCACACUGGAUAAACCCUGCAUACAUUACUGAACUUUCCUCAGUCACAGCUUCUUUUUGUUGAAAAGCCAAGAAGAUAACAGUGCAACUUCAGAGGCUGGGAUGACAUGAGGCACGAAUUCAUGUAGGACACUGAGGGCAGAACCUGGUACUUAACACGUGUGCAGUAAAUGCUAAUGACUUACUCAUCAUGACGCUGGUAUAAGUAACUGCUGAGAACAAAGCGCUGGCCUCAGGACCACUGAAAUAUAUUCAAAGCAAAACCAUGUGGAUCCAUAAAACACCAGCACAGGCCACUAGCUACUCCAAGUCCAUGCCCAUGAGCCUCCUUUAUCUCGUUGCCAGUCAUGAAUAAUACAGGUGCGGGUCAAGUUAGAAGUCUUGAUGUUUAUGUGACCCAUUUCCUUCAAGUUUGUGAGAAGUUCGUUCUCCUACCACAUGUGGCCUGGAAAUGCAUUAAGAUCAACUUGUGACUGAGGAUUCAGACACCAAACUCAAGAGGAAGCUGGACAUCUGGAGAUAAAACGCAGCUUUCAUCAGAUUUACGGAGAACUGACAGAGGAAGCUCCGUGGAACCGCCCUCCCGUACGCGAGACCCCAAGUGUACCCUUUGGUAAGGGCAGUACCAACUAGCCACUGCACAGGUCCCAGCCCAGGAGAACACAUACAUAUGGCUCUUUGGCUCUGACACCCCAUCAGUCAGCCUCACUUAGAGAAGAAAACAGCCAAGGUUCAUGCAAUCGAGACUCAUCAUUUUCAGCCGAGGGUGGGGUGGGGGGGGGAGGAGGAUCAGAAAAGGGUCUUCCUUAUGGCCUUAAAUGACAAGAAAACAGACGAAGUUGAAAGCGCCACCUCGCGCUUCUCCAAAAAGCAAGUGCUCAAUAAAGGCUUCUGCGGCAGGGAACCACAGGGCUGAUUCCUGCCCCAAGGACCUCGACAAUCUUUGGCCAGCUGGUUUAAAUGCCUGCGAAGCAGGCCUGUCGGAGCUGCCCUUUCCAGAGGCCUCCACGGUGGAACACAUUCCUCUGACGUGGCAGAAAUAAGCCUGGAGCCAUCAACAGCUCCUCUUCUAAGUCGACAAUGGCCUCUCUCUUUCAGGAUGAACCUUGGAGGAGGAAACCAUUCUCCCAGGCCAGGGUAGGAGGCUGUGUGAAAAAUCUCCUCGCUCUUCCCUUGGCUGCUUGGGCCUGACCCACUAGGUACCCAAUGGAAGCCUCCGAUGGGGGGGUGGGGGAACGGAUGGACGAAACUGAUAAUUCAAGGGGACAAAGCAGAAGGCUGACCCUUAAAACGGCGCUCCUCUGCAUGGCCACGUUAAGACCUCAUUAUAAGCCACGUGGUGGGCAGGCAGGCGCCCAGCCCUGGUGCCAGUUGUUUCAAGUCACAUGGCUUAAUAAUUAACAUGAGGCAAACCAGCGGGGAUCAGGACAGGCAAAUAUUGAGCCCCAGAAAAGGACAGAGGAAGACGAGGGAUUCGGCCGAAUGCUCCACUGCUUCCAGAGGCUGGAGCGGCACGGGUGCUUGACCUACAGUCAAGGCCCACAAGGCACUGAGGAACUGUUUGCUCUCUUAGGCAAAGCAAACGCAGUUACAUCGGGUAUGGGAAGGAACCAGGGAAGAAAAAAAGCUCAUCUCCUAAAAUGAAGAAAGAGCCUAUCACUUUUCUGCCUGUUUCUGGACAUCCCUGAGGUAUCCUCUGCCAAGGGGCACAGAAGCAUAGGAAAGAAAAGGUGACAUCAAAGACCUGUCACGCAAAGCUCUCAGCCCGAGGUCUCUCUUGCCCAAAAAUGCAUUUCCGAAGGGCUGAAGAGUUGCUGACUGCCUGAGGUUCAAACAUCUUCCAGCCAUGGGUUUCCCUUCCCUGAAAGCCGGAAAGCAGACGCAUCUGUUUUGUGCUAAGCAGGCGCCCUCCGCUCCACAGGAGGCUGUGUGCGCAACCCAGUCCUACCCACAGUCGCCGCUCAGCGGCCGGGAAUCGACAGCCUCACACACCCUCCAAGGAGGACGCUCUUUAACUGCCAACUUUCAGGAGAGGCAGUGGGGGGCUUGUCCACGGCCACAGCAAUCAACAGCGAGGCCAAGCCAUCAGUGGGUGAGAACAUGGGUCCGAGCCAGUCCUUAGAGUCUUAUUCCAAUGCAGGAAGAGAGGAUGACAGGGACGCAAUUAAGUUAAAAAGACAAAAAGCUUAUGAAAAAAAUCAGAAUGGUAAAGAAAAAACAAACCUCAACUGAGCACCAGCCAGCAAAAAGGAGACAGAAUCACCAUGUCACUUUUUCAAAGCCCUCCAUUAAUUCCGUAGUCCCUUCUGCACAAAGGUGGUGGAGCCUCCCAAGGGGUUCAAGCCAAAACCGGGUGUUUAGCAGAAGUGAGUCACUUGGGAGAAAACUCAUCCCUAAGGGCGAUGCCAUCUGCAGUGUUCCCUCCUAGAAAUUCACCCUGAUCUGCUUAGCAGCAGAACACAGCACUCCCGAGGCGAAGGAGCUAAAUGAUGUGGGAGCAAAGCCAGGGAAGGCUCGGGAGACGCUGGGCUGCAGAGCUGGGUGGAGUGGCACGGUUGCCUAGCUCCUCAGUCCUGGAGCCUGAACGCAGCACCUCUCCGGGGAAAUCAAACUCUACUGCUGGAAAUGCAGGCUCCACACUGCGAGGUCUGGGGAAGUUAAGCAUUCAGAAGGGAAUCCACUUCCUCCGCAUCACGGCCGCUAACUGGGAACACACAGACAUCCAGAAUGUGUGGUACCCACUGCGUCCAUUUGCUGAGCUAAGGAGGUCAGCUAGUGAAGAAGGGGGCGUGAAAAGAAGCAGUCAGGAGAGAAGCCCAGAACCUGGUUUACCUCUGCGCCUGCAGAUGGGCAGGGGGCUACCCCCCAAGGGGAGAUGAAAGGAGGAGAGGCCACUAGAGAGUGACUUGUGCAAACGUGGGCCAGGUCACCCCCCACCCCUGACAUCACAACAGGGUAGACCCAGAAAACCAAUAGCCCAGCUGUUAUUUCUGCCUCCUGACAUUAGGCACAAAGGAACCUAUUCUCCUUAAGGCAUCGAGCAAAGUUCAGAGACUAAAGCAGAGCUUUGCAGCCCUGGCUCUGCGAAGGACCCCCUGGAGAUCGCCAACACACUGAAGCCACCGUCCCACCUCGGGAUAUGGACUUAAUUGAUGUGGAGAACAGCCAAGCCUUGGCCGUCCUCUUAAAAGCUCCUUGGGCAAAACUCAGGUAUGCUUUGGGCCGAGCGACAAGGGUCUAGAGCGCCCUGGGAAGGACCAGCUUUGCAGCUCACCCUGCCUUUCAGCUGGCUGCCCUGUACUGCUGGGCACACAGGCUCUGCUGUGGCUUCCACGGUGAGGGUCCCCCAGCCCGCUUCAUCCUCGCAGACUUUCUUGGAACCCUGCACUUGAGCAUCUGCUGAGUGAACAGGAGCCAGCCAAGUGUUCCACUGGGGCAACAGAUGUUGCUGAAGAUUUCCUACAAAAACCUAGGUAUCAAUUAAGCAACUGGAGGUGGUGUCAGGAGGACAUGAGAGGGCCCGGGGAGGGAAGGAGGAGGACAUAGAGCAGAGUCCAGGGCUAGGGCAAGGCAGGAACACAGAUUAUUUUUCUAGCUCUCUAAUAUUUGCCCCAACACAGCCAUCCCCUGGCAUUCAGGGGUGAGAGGUUCUAGGAACCUCCUCAGACACCAAAAUCCACAGAUGCUCAAGUUCCCUCUAUGAGACAAAGCAGUUGUUUGAAUGGCAGAUACAGAGGACCAACUGUCUUAGCACCUUGGAAAGGCAAGGAAGGAAUAUUAGCAUUUCAGGCCUUGUGGCUACAGAGGAAUUGCAGCAGAACCCUGAAUAAGUAAUUUCUGGAUUCUCAUGCCUGUGAAUACGUCAGGCAGGGAGCCUGCUUCCCUUGUACUUCAGCUACAUGAAGGCCAUUGCUGUGACAACCACAAAAAUACAAAUGAGUAGACCUCCGCUAACUUCUCUGGAACAGAGAGCAGAAGACACUGAGAAAACAUCCAUUUUAUCCUUCAAGGAAAGAGUCAAACUGAAGAUGGUAAAACAAGCCACACACUGCAAAGGUCCAGUCCUGCUUUGUACAUUCAGCCAUCUCCACAGCUGAAAAGACUAGCUAUUUGAGGAUUCAUCCUACCCAAGGAUUCCUUAGUUUUCCUGUUUUGGAGGGAACCUUGGUGAAAGUACACUGAAGUUCAUUCUGCCAUCCACACCUGACGCAUCAGUACAACUGUGUGCCAUGGUCUCUGGCUUAAUUUAAAUACAUUCAAGUGUUUAUCCCUCUUUCAAUCCCUCCCCUCAAAAGAUGGUCUCAACUGGAAUAAAUGUACUCCGUUCAAAAUAUUUGAUGACCUUCAUGACAAUAAGAAGCAAAUAUAUCAUGUAGCAGCCAAUCAGAGGGAAGCAAACUUGAGGCAGGAGUCAAAUUUAAUACCACUAACUUCCUAAGAACUUAUUUUGGGGGUAAACCACACCCAUGGCAUAUGCAAGUUCCCAGGCCAGGGAUCAUGUCACAGAGGCAGCAAUGCCAGAUCCUUAACCCACGGCACCAGGCCAGGGAUCAAACCCUCACUGGCACAGAGAUAAUGCUGGAUCCUCAACCUGCUGCACCACAGCAAGAAUUCCAGUUUCCUAAGAACUUUUAAAGGGCACAUUAGAUUGACCAAUCAAAGCCACAAGAGCAUGGUUCCUAACUUGGUUCACAGGAGCCAGUGUUCUGUCCUCCCUGGCUCGGGUCUGCUUUUGCCUGCUGCAGACCUGGGAGGACAGAGGAGGAACAGGGGGAAGUUGGUGGCCUGUGACAGCUGCAAUGUUACAUUGAUUGACUUGGCCUGCACACCAUCAGGCCAGAUUAUCAGCAGCUUGUUCUGAGGCUGAAGAAGAAUCAAUGCUGCAGAAUCCAGCUAAGCCACGGACCACAGUAUUCCAGGACAUCACAUGAGGACUUUAAAAAAAAAAAAAAAAGAACCACAGCCCUUGGGGACUCCCAAAAAGACAUUUUUGUCAUGAUCUUCAUUGAGUGGCUAGAAAUACACAAAAUAAAAUUUUCAAAAUCCUCAUUUUGCCUCUAGAGAAAAAUGCAAAGACCCUGAGAUUCUGGAAUUCCACCCAUGGGCCACUCUCCCCAGAAGGAAGAGCCCGCCAAGUGCUGGUGGCUCCUCUAGCAGGUGCACAACCCUUACCAACCAGUGGCUUGACCAGGCAAGGGAUCAGCUCCUCUCACCAGUGAAGAGCCAGGCUCUGCAAAGUCACAGGAUUGUGGAAUUGUGGAGCAGGACCAGGACAUGACUCACUGGGUUCAAAAGCCCACAAGGCCAAGCUGCUGGGAGAUGUGAGCAGCCAGCCUUAUCACAAUGGCUUCCUAGAACUUGGAAAUGGCGGUACAGAAGAGAGAUGGAGAGGAAAACUGGUACAUCAUAUGAUGCCUACAUUACAGAACACUACGGUCACCCCACAGAAUUUGGUGAAAGUCUAUGUCUUUAGCUUCAUGCUUCCAUUUAAACUUGCACCAAGACCUUAAUGACAGGGAUACCCACAAUAAUCAGAGGCAACAUUUCAGCUCAAAAAAUGCGUUGAUAACCAGGAAAGACUUUAAAAAAAAA